GGUUAAGCGACUAAGCGUACACGGUGGAUGCCCUGGCAGUCAGAGGCGAUGAAGGACGUGCUAAUCUGCGAUAAGCGUCGGUAAGGUGAUAUGAACCGUUAUAACCGGCGAUUUCCGAAUGGGGAAACCCAGUGUGUUUCGACACACUAUCAUUAACUGAAUCCAUAGGUUAAUGAGGCGAACCGGGGGAACUGAAACAUCUAAGUACCCCGAGGAAAAGAAAUCAACCGAGAUUCCCCCAGUAGCGGCGAGCGAACGGGGAGCAGCCCAGAGCCUGAAUCAGUGUGUGUGUUAGUGGAAGCGUCUGGAAAGGCGCGCGAUACAGGGUGACAGCCCCGUACACAAAAAUGCACAUGCUGUGAGCUCGAUGAGUAGGGCGGGACACGUGGUAUCCUGUCUGAAUAUGGGGGGACCAUCCUCCAAGGCUAAAUACUCCUGACUGACCGAUAGUGAACCAGUACCGUGAGGGAAAGGCGAAAAGAACCCCGGCGAGGGGAGUGAAAAAGAACCUGAAACCGUGUACGUACAAGCAGUGGGAGCACGCUUAGGCGUGUGACUGCGUACCUUUUGUAUAAUGGGUCAGCGACUUAUAUUCUGUAGCAAGGUUAACCGAAUAGGGGAGCCGAAGGGAAACCGAGUCUUAACUGGGCGUUAAGUUGCAGGGUAUAGACCCGAAACCCGGUGAUCUAGCCAUGGGCAGGUUGAAGGUUGGGUAACACUAACUGGAGGACCGAACCGACUAAUGUUGAAAAAUUAGCGGAUGACUUGUGGCUGGGGGUGAAAGGCCAAUCAAACCGGGAGAUAGCUGGUUCUCCCCGAAAGCUAUUUAGGUAGCGCCUCGUGAAUUCAUCUCCGGGGGUAGAGCACUGUUUCGGCAAGGGGGUCAUCCCGACUUACCAACCCGAUGCAAACUGCGAAUACCGGAGAAUGUUAUCACGGGAGACACACGGCGGGUGCUAACGUCCGUCGUGAAGAGGGAAACAACCCAGACCGCCAGCUAAGGUCCCAAAGUCAUGGUUAAGUGGGAAACGAUGUGGGAAGGCCCAGACAGCCAGGAUGUUGGCUUAGAAGCAGCCAUCAUUUAAAGAAAGCGUAAUAGCUCACUGGUCGAGUCGGCCUGCGCGGAAGAUGUAACGGGGCUAAACCAUGCACCGAAGCUGCGGCAGCGACGCUUAUGCGUUGUUGGGUAGGGGAGCGUUCUGUAAGCCUGUGAAGGUGUGCUGUGAGGCAUGCUGGAGGUAUCAGAAGUGCGAAUGCUGACAUAAGUAACGAUAAAGCGGGUGAAAAGCCCGCUCGCCGGAAGACCAAGGGUUCCUGUCCAACGUUAAUCGGGGCAGGGUGAGUCGACCCCUAAGGCGAGGCCGAAAGGCGUAGUCGAUGGGAAACAGGUUAAUAUUCCUGUACUUGGUGUUACUGCGAAGGGGGGACGGAGAAGGCUAUGUUGGCCGGGCGACGGUUGUCCCGGUUUAAGCGUGUAGGCUGGUUUUCCAGGCAAAUCCGGAAAAUCAAGGCUGAGGCGUGAUGACGAGGCACUACGGUGCUGAAGCAACAAAUGCCCUGCUUCCAGGAAAAGCCUCUAAGCAUCAGGUAACAUCAAAUCGUACCCCAAACCGACACAGGUGGUCAGGUAGAGAAUACCAAGGCGCUUGAGAGAACUCGGGUGAAGGAACUAGGCAAAAUGGUGCCGUAACUUCGGGAGAAGGCACGCUGAUAUGUAGGUGAAGUCCCUCGCGGAUGGAGCUGAAAUCAGUCGAAGAUACCAGCUGGCUGCAACUGUUUAUUAAAAACACAGCACUGUGCAAACACGAAAGUGGACGUAUACGGUGUGACGCCUGCCCGGUGCCGGAAGGUUAAUUGAUGGGGUUAGCCGCAAGGCGAAGCUCUUGAUCGAAGCCCCGGUAAACGGCGGCCGUAACUAUAACGGUCCUAAGGUAGCGAAAUUCCUUGUCGGGUAAGUUCCGACCUGCACGAAUGGCGUAAUGAUGGCCAGGCUGUCUCCACCCGAGACUCAGUGAAAUUGAACUCGCUGUGAAGAUGCAGUGUACCCGCGGCAAGACGGAAAGACCCCGUGAACCUUUACUAUAGCUUGACACUGAACAUUGAGCCUUGAUGUGUAGGAUAGGUGGGAGGCUUUGAAGUGUGGACGCCAGUCUGCAUGGAGCCGACCUUGAAAUACCACCCUUUAAUGUUUGAUGUUCUAACGUUGACCCGUAAUCCGGGUUGCGGACAGUGUCUGGUGGGUAGUUUGACUGGGGCGGUCUCCUCCUAAAGAGUAACGGAGGAGCACGAAGGUUGGCUAAUCCUGGUCGGACAUCAGGAGGUUAGUGCAAUGGCAUAAGCCAGCUUGACUGCGAGCGUGACGGCGCGAGCAGGUGCGAAAGCAGGUCAUAGUGAUCCGGUGGUUCUGAAUGGAAGGGCCAUCGCUCAACGGAUAAAAGGUACUCCGGGGAUAACAGGCUGAUACCGCCCAAGAGUUCAUAUCGACGGCGGUGUUUGGCACCUCGAUGUCGGCUCAUCACAUCCUGGGGCUGAAGUAGGUCCCAAGGGUAUGGCUGUUCGCCAUUUAAAGUGGUACGCGAGCUGGGUUUAGAACGUCGUGAGACAGUUCGGUCCCUAUCUGCCGUGGGCGCUGGAGAACUGAGGGGGGCUGCUCCUAGUACGAGAGGACCGGAGUGGACGCAUCACUGGUGUUCGGGUUGUCAUGCCAAUGGCACUGCCCGGUAGCUAAAUGCGGAAGAGAUAAGUGCUGAAAGCAUCUAAGCACGAAACUUGCCCCGAGAUGAGUUCUCCCUGACUCC
Molecule: ribosomal RNA, 2798 nt
Filed under: Escherichia coli
Lineage: Bacteria; Pseudomonadati; Pseudomonadota; Gammaproteobacteria; Enterobacterales; Enterobacteriaceae
Description: partial 23S ribosomal RNA
Rfam family: Bacterial large subunit ribosomal RNA
Source: RNAcentral